UAGGGAAUCUUCGGCAAUGGACGGAAGUCUGACCGAGCAACGCCGCGUGAGUGAAGAAGGUUUUCGGAUCGUAAAGCUCUGUUGUUAGAGAAGAACGUUGGUAGGAGUGGAAAAUCUACCAAGUGACGGUAACUAACCAGAAAGGGACGGCUAACUACGUGCCAGCAGCCGCGGUAAUACGUAGGUCCCGAGCGUUGUCCGGAUUUAUUGGGCGUAAAGCGAGCGCAGGCGGUUCUUUAAGUCUGAAGUUAAAGGCAGUGGCUUAACCAUUGUACGCUUUGGAAACUGGAGGACUUGAGUGCAGAAGGGGGGAGUGGAAUUCCAUGUGUAGCGGUGAAAUGCGUAGAUAUAUGGAGGAACACCGGUGGCGAAAGCGGCUCUCUGGUCUGUAACUGACGCUGUGGCUCGAACGCGUGGGGAGCAAACAGG
Molecule: ribosomal RNA, 429 nt
Filed under: Bacillota bacterium
Lineage: Bacteria; Bacillati; Bacillota
Description: Firmicutes bacterium partial 16S ribosomal RNA
Rfam family: Bacterial small subunit ribosomal RNA
Source: RNAcentral